Molecule: long non-coding RNA, 561 nt
Organism: Odocoileus virginianus texanus
Lineage: Eukaryota; Metazoa; Chordata; Mammalia; Artiodactyla; Cervidae
Source: RefSeq, a predicted model, not a curated record
UGUGAGGCGCAACCGGGACCGGAAGCCCCUCUGGAGGGCCACAGGUGCUUGUGUUGGGGGCCUGAGAGGGAAAGUGGGGGCAGAAGCGGGGAGUGACCUCCAGGGUCCCUACCCCCCCCAACACCUCCCUCACCCACUGCUUCUAGAAUUUCCACUCCACAGUUAAUAACAAAGCCUAGCCUUCCAAGAGAUGAAGGAACACGUGAUGAUAAACUAUCACAGUUGGAGAGGCAAGAGGAAUCAUCUCCAUCUACAGCAGAAAGAGGAAAGCAAGGCCAGCAUCAUGUCCUGAGAAUCACUGAUAUGUUUGAAGGGACAUGGACCACCUGGACUUUGUGCAGAAUAACACAUCAGCCCACUAUAUUGAUGUAUCCUGCUAAUUGAAUGUGAAGAACAAAAAAGGGAAAGCACAUUCAAGAGCUUGGUAGGAUGUAUGUACUACAAAAAGCACGAGAUGGAUCCUAUGAAGAAAUGGGAACUUGCCACAUCAGUGAAGACCAGGCUUCUGUGCACUGUGGUAUGCCAUAUAUCUGUUUCAAAAUAAAGAAGAGAUUCCUGCAA